AAGUCGAGGGGAAACGAUAUUGGAAGCUUGCUUCCGAUAGGCGGCGACCGGCGGAAGGGUGCGUAACGCGUGAGCGACAUGCCCGUUGCCCGGGGACAACCGGUGGAAACGCCGACUAAUCCCCGAUGGGAUAUUGUGCCGCAUGGCACGAUAUUGAAAGUUACGGCGGCGACGGAUUGGCUCGCGUCCGAUUAGCUGGUUGGCGGGGUAACGGCCCACCAAGGCUGCGAUCGGUAGGGGUUCUGAGAGGAAGGUCCCCACAAUGGAACUGAGACACGGUCCAUACUCC
RNAcentral lists this ribosomal RNA (289 nucleotides) under uncultured bacterium. Its description in RNAcentral is "partial 16S ribosomal RNA". It matches the Rfam family "Bacterial small subunit ribosomal RNA", at positions 59 to 339 of the family's 1533-position model. The record is from RNAcentral.